AUUGAACGCUGGCGGCAGGCCUAACACAUGCAAGUCGAACGGUAACAGGAAGAAGCUUGCUUCUUUGCUGACGAGUGGCGGACGGGUGAGUAAUGUCUGGGAAACUGCCUGAUGGAGGGGGAUAACUACUGGAAACGGUAGCUAAUACCGCAUAAUGUCGCAAGACCAAAGAGGGGGACCUUCGGGCCUCUUGCCAUCGGAUGUGCCCAGAUGGGAUUAGCUAGUAGGUGGGGUAAAGGCUCACCUAGGCGACGAUCCCUAGCUGGUCUGAGAGGAUGACCAGCCACACUGGAACUGAGACACGGUCCAGACUCCUACGGGAGGCAGCAGUGGGGAAUAUUGCACAAUGGGCGCAAGCCUGAUGCAGCUAUGCCGCGUGUAUGAAGAAGGCCUUCGGGUUGUAAAGUACUUUCAGCGGGGAGGAAGGGAGUAAAGUUAAUACCUUUGCUCAUUGACGUUACCCGCAGAAGAAGCACCGGCUAACUCCGUG
Molecule: ribosomal RNA, 490 nt
Filed under: uncultured bacterium
Lineage: Bacteria
Description: partial 16S ribosomal RNA
Rfam family: Bacterial small subunit ribosomal RNA
Source: RNAcentral